RNAcentral lists this non-coding RNA (2942 nucleotides) under Pongo abelii (Sumatran orangutan). The record is from RNAcentral. Lineage: Eukaryota; Metazoa; Chordata; Mammalia; Primates; Hominidae.
GCGCAUGCUCAUCUGCAGAAACGCUGCUUGGCCUUUGGACUACCCCAUCUGUCGCUCUAACGAGCCGGCCUCGCCGCCAGGGGACGCUUGGGCCGCAGGAAGGUCGCUGGGUCGUGAGCUGGCGCCGGGGACGCCAAGCGACUGCGGGGCUUCCCUCAGCGUCCUGCUAUCCGGCUGCCCGCCGCGCUCCCUGGUAGUGUCCGUGGGCGCGCAGGCCUUGAAGAACCUCCUCGCGGCGGGCCGCCGAGCGCAGGAGAGGUGUCAAAGCGCUGGCGCGUCUCCAGAGCCCCGGGAGGAAGGCUGUAACGGCAGCCCCAUUGUAGACAGGGACAUUCGCAUCCCGAGCCCUGGAUCUCUGAAAAGCAGCCCAGAAUUUGGAAGCUGGAAGGAACUUUAGAUCGUCCAUUCUGGGUGUCUCUCUUCGUUGGCGUUUUCCCACUGAGGUUAUGUAAACAUGAAGAGGAGCCUACAAGUGUCAAGGAAAAAACGACAGCUAACCACAGGGCAGGCCAUGGCCAAGAUAGCUCAGUGUUCUCCGCUCUCAUAGGUCAGGUGAGACUCACUUAGGCUGGACUGCAAUGGUGCAAUCUCGGCUCACUGCAACCUCCGCCUCUCGGGUUCAAGCCAUUCUCCUGCCUCAGCCUUCCGAAUCGCUGGGAUUACAGGUCACAACCCCCAGGAGACCUGGAGAACUGAAUGCUGCUGCCCCCAAGGAGGAGGCUGCUGUCUUAUCCCAGGAGGGAGAGCAGGUGAAGUCCCCAGGGGAGGAAGCACCUAGCCCCAUUCCUGCUGAGCAGGAGGUGGCAGGUACCCCAGACUGGGAGGUAAGGACAGCCCGGGGCUUCAACUGGAACGUCUCCAGCCUGGGUCCGACUGAGCAGCCAUGGAGCAUUGCAGAGUGGGAGGCAGCAGGGCAGGGAGGCAGUGCUGGAGGCUGGCUCAACCCCAAGACCAGCAGGCCAAGCUGCCAUCCCAGGGGAGCCGGGACGUCUGUGCAGAGCUGAGAGGCAGCAGCCAUGUGUGAACAGACUGGCCUCAUCCUGGCCCCCCCCGACUUCUUGUGGACAGAGCCUGUUUCCCUGUCUGUGCAACACAGAACCUGCCUGAUCUCACUGCUGGAUCCCUCUUCUUCCUGCCAGGAAAAUAAAAAGGUUCAAAAGGAAGUUGCUGCGUAUCCAUCUGAGGCCUCUGAGGACAGCAAAGAGCAAAGGCCCUGGGAGCGGGUCUCCGUACCCAUGACAGAGCUCUGGCUGGACUGGUUCUCAGCCUCUAACACCCCCAACACUCAGAACCGUGAAGAAAAACUUUCCAAUAAAUCCAAGAGUUGCUGCUGCCAUAGGCCAGGCUGCCGCCUUUCGGGACCUCCGUCUUCAGAGAAACCCAGCCUGGCUUCAUCCACACUCCCUGUCCCCACAGCUGCAGGAACAGCACUUCCUGCCACCGAGCCGUGUGACCACAGUGGAUUGUCUCCGGAGGGGCCCAAGGGGGCCCUGGCCACCCUUCUGACUCGGUGCCAGGGGACAGACCAACGUCCCUCUCGUGCUGACAGCCGGGCCGCACCCUGGCGUGAGGGCAUUUACAGAAAUGCUGGCGGAACUGCUGCCAGGGAGGCUGUAGGGUCCUCUGGCAAAAGAGGCCUCAGGUGGCUCCUCAGAGCGUCUGUGGUUCUCUAUCCCAGGCUGUUCCCUAAGAAGGUCUGCCCAGGACUCAGGUCACAACCCCCAGGAGACCUGGAGAACUGAAUGCUGCUGCCCCCAAGGAGGAGGCUGCUGUCUUAUCCCAGGAGGGAGAGCAGGUGAAGUCCCCAGGGGAGGAAGCACCUAGCCCCAUUCCUGCUGAGCAGGAGGUGGCAGGUACCCCAGACUGGGAGGUAAGGACAGCCCGGGGCUUCAACUGGAACGUCUCCAGCCUGGGUCCGACUGAGCAGCCAUGGAGCAUUGCAGAGUGGGAGGCAGCAGGGCAGGGAGGCAGUGCUGGAGGCUGGCUCAACCCCAAGACCAGCAGGCCAAGCUGCCAUCCCAGGGGAGCCGGGACGUCUGUGCAGAGCUGAGAGGCAGCAGCCAUGUGUGAACAGACUGGGCCUCAUCCUGGCCCCCCCCCGACUUCUUGUGGACAGAGCCUGUUUCCCUGUCUGUGCAACACAGAACCUGCCUGAUCUCACUGCUGGAUCCCUCUUCUUCCUGCCAGGAAAAUAAAAAGGUUCAAAAGGAAGUUGCUGCGUAUCCAUCUGAGGCCUCUGAGGACAGCAAAGAGCAAAGGCCCUGGGAGCGGGUCUCCGUACCCAUGACAGAGCUCUGGCUGGACUGGUUCUCAGCCUCUAACACCCCCAACACUCAGAACCGUGAAGAAAAACUUUCCAAUAAAUCCAAGAGUUGCUGCUGCCAUAGGCCAGGCUGCCGCCUUUCGGGACCUCCGUCUUCAGAGAAACCCAGCCUGGCUUCAUCCACACUCCCUGUCCCCACAGCUGCAGGAACAGCACUUCCUGCCACCGAGCCGUGUGACCACAGUGGAUUGUCUCCGGAGGGGCCCAAGGGGGCCCUGGCCACCCUUCUGACUCGGUGCCAGGGGACAGACCAACGUCCCUCUCGUGCUGACAGCCGGGCCGCACCCUGGCGUGAGGGCAUUUACAGAAAUGCUGGCGGAACUGCUGCCAGGGAGGCUGUAGGGUCCUCUGGCAAAAGAGGCCUCAGGUGGCUCCUCAGAGCGUCUGUGGUUCUCUAUCCCAGGCUGUUCCCUAAGAAGGUCUGCCCAGGACUCAGGUAAUCAUAUGCUCAUUAGAAACUCUUGGGCACUGCCUGUGUGCCCAGCCCAGCCCAUUAUGUCAGUGAGGACUGACGUGGAGGACAGCGGUCCCUGCCUUUGGUUGGGGCUCCAGGCCAGCAAGGGCCACAGCCCCAGAAGGCAGAGCAGGAAGACAGGACUCAUGGCAGCUGAAGCAGCCU